AUAGUCAUUUAUUUGUGCAUUGCCUCAAUAGAUUACAGUACAACAUUAAUGCACCAGAUACUCUAGCUACAAUAAAUAUGUAUAUUGAAAGAUCUAAAAUGGCAAGAAAUCGUACUUGGGCAUCAGAAGUUGAAAUUUAUGCUAUGGCCCACUUACUGCAUACUUCUAUAGUUAUUUUUAAUAAUCCCUGCAGAUGUAGAAGCAAUAUUCUAACUGUGUGUAAUUGUCCACCUUAUAAUUGGAUUGAUGUUCGGUGGACUGCUGCUAUUCGCCACGCUGGCAUAGCUGUGCAAUAUUCAAAUGUUGCACCAUCGCUGUAUCUUUACCAUCCACCCAAUCACUAUGAAGUAGUGACUGACAUAGUGGAUUAAGCUUUACACAGGUAUAAUGGGUUUACACGCUAUAUUCACUUGUUUUGAUAAAUCUAUCAAACAUGUUGAAUGUGUUCUCAUAUGCCUUUUAAAAAUACACGGUUGAUCACCUUAAAUUCACAUGUUUUCAUUGUCAUAAUUUGACUUUUAAAUGUUACAUGUUGAAUGUGUCCCGUGUCCCAAAAAAAUCAUAUACCACAAGCAAGAGAAAGGUCAUUAUGUCACAUACAAUUGUCAAACCAGUUCCAGUAUAGCUACUAUUCAAAAAAUAUGAAAUCUACUGUGUAUAUACUUCAAUACACACAGGAUGAGACAUAACCAGACACACAUACUUAUGAAGAAAAAAAUUAAACGAAAAGCACAUAAAAAGACAAAGGUUUAAAAUGAUUAUAUUGAUAUUAAUAAAAAUGUUUCUCCUCUAAAGAAUACGCAUAUUACCAGACACACAUACUUAUGAAGAAAAGAAAAUUAAUCCUACAAAAAUACUUCAAUAAAAAAUGACUGAAAUUAAUCCUACAAAAAUACUACAAUAAAAAAAUGAUUGGCCCACUGAAUUACAUGUGGAUAUUGACAUAACUAAAAGCACAUAAAAGAAAAAGACAAAGAUUUAAAAUGAUUAUAUUGCUAUUAAUAAAAAUGUUUCUCCUCUUAUUUAUGAUGAUAUAAGUAAAGAAUAUGCAUAUUGGUGUCAACAGAGAAUAGAGAUAGUAUAAAGAUGCUAUUAUGGGAUUAACAAAUACAUCUACUAGUGCAUCACAGUGACUCACACAGGUGUAAAAUAAAACACAUGGAAAGAGGAAGGUUAAAAGAGAAUAUUUUUCCUCUAACUUUAUGACACAAAAUAAAAGCAGCAAAAACAAUAUAACAUGUCCAAGAUGCCAUUACAAUGAAAAUUGCACACACUAGUGUAUCACAGUGACUUACACAGGUGUAAAAUGAAACACAAGAAUAUUUCUCCUCUAACUUUAUGAUAGUACAAUUAAAGAAUAUGCAUAUUCUCAUCAUACAACCUACAAUUAUACAUUACUGGAACUGAUAUUUCUUUUACAAUUUCUUUGGCAAUUUUUCCAGUCCCAUACAUUUCGAGAAAUGGAACUUGACCUUUCUCUUGCACAAACAGAGCAUCAUGUUGCCACUUACAAUGGUGCACUUCAAAUUAUGUACCUACUCAACCAAGCAUAAUAGGAACUGCAAACCUUAAAAAAAAAAAAUAACAGCAGUCAUCAAUAUUAAAUUUUCCAAGCAGCAAACAAUAUACCUCAAAAAGGAGCAUUUUUGUCACAAAUAAAAGCAAGAAUUUGCAUAAUUUACUACAUUACAUUAAGUAUUUUUUCUUAAUACUAUUGUUGUCACUGUCUCUUUCUCUUUGUACUAGACCAUCACAAAAUUCUCAUUUUAUUACACUAACCAUCAAUACUCAAAUCAAACUAUAAGUCAUUCUAAAUUAUGAUGCUCAACAAAAAAAAACCUGACCAUAUCAUUGAAAUAAAUUAAUACUACAUUUUUAAACAAAAAUGGUCAUCAUUGUUUCUUCAUCAUAAAACAGUCAAAAUUCAUUGCAGUUCUUUCUUGUCAUUUUACUAUUAACAAAUAUAUUACCCAGUCAUAAGUAAGAAAUAAUAAUGCUCAUCUAUUAUAAAGGCAGUGAACACAUAAUAACAAUUAACUUGUUCUUAUCACUCUUAUUUGCAUUUCCCUAGAGUAUAUUUUCUCAUUGUAAAACAACACCUUUCAUGGAGAUGUCUAUCAAUAUUAUUAUCAUAGAUAUCUAUGUCUCUUCGUCAUAAUAACUUACCUUUAAUCAUCAUUGGCUCAUUUUGCAUAGUAUAAAAAUGACAUAAAAAGUAACAUCUAUUCAGCAAAUCACAGCGGCUAUCACAAUUAUUAAUACAUAUUUUACACUUUUUAGAUGAAACAUUAUGCUUGUCAUUUUUUACUUCUCAAUCAUCAUAAAGCAAUGUCCCUAGUGACACUAUUCAUGUUAUCAAAAAAAAAACAAUCUACAAUGAUUGCUUUGCAGUACUUAAUACAGAAUCAAGACAGAAUUUAAGUAGAAAACAUGACAACCCAUAGUACCAUAUCUAAAAUUAUAUAUGUAUAACAUGAUAAUUUACUGUCUUUUAGGAAAAGUUAAUUUCUUCACAUGGACACUAAUAGCAAGUACACAACUGCAUAUGCCUAAUGUUCUCUAACACAUGAUGGAUACCUUUUUGACUGCCAGCAUUCUUACAUUAAACAAAUCUUUCUACAUGUAUAUCACUUUCAUAUACAGUUACUUUUACAUCAGUUCCUACAACCAGGAGAGGUUUGUCCACAUUCAUGACAUAACAUUUCCUGACUCUCCACUCUCCCUUCAUUCCCUCUGUCUUUGCUAAAUGCUCCUCCCAUAAAAAGCAAGCAUUCAUUCAUAAUACCACCGACUGCUGAUUUAUAUAUA
Long non-coding RNA from Amphimedon queenslandica, 2808 nucleotides. RefSeq lists it as uncharacterized. The record is from RefSeq and is a predicted model, not a curated record. The transcript is spliced from 18 exons. Lineage: Eukaryota; Metazoa; Porifera; Demospongiae; Haplosclerida; Niphatidae.